This 919-nucleotide unclassified non-coding RNA is filed under the name Hevea brasiliensis (rubber tree). The record is from RNAcentral. Lineage: Eukaryota; Viridiplantae; Streptophyta; Magnoliopsida; Malpighiales; Euphorbiaceae.
GAAAAAUUCAACAUUUAAACUACAGAAAUUUUGGUGCUGAAUAUUCUGCAAGUUGAAAGCACAUAAUAAUUGAUCAACCUAUACCGUGUGCAAAAUAGGAAGGAGGCGAAGAAUCGCGACAAGUACAACUCAUUGCAUAGGUGCCUGAAAAUCAAAAUGUCGCGAGUGCAGCUUAUUUGAAACCAUCCGAUUGUAGGACUUACAAGAUCAAAUUACAUUGAUCUUUACUGCUACCACGGCAGCCCUUGUCAAAAGAGUCUCAAUUCUCAUGUAAACACAUGAAUAUACCAAGAGCUUCCAUUGAGCAUCAGAAUGUGGGAUAAAAAGAAACGAAGACCGACUAUUGACUGUACAACUGGCGGAACGCCCAGAAACUAACAAAUUCUUUGUAUGGAAAUAACUCUGUAAUACUACUACUUUGGAAAAACAAAAGUAAUCCUCUAAUGAUAAAGCAACUACCCAACAUUCCUGCACAAAAUACACAAAACUUGAUGGCAUAAGAAAGGAUGGAUAAAAUUAUACCAAGACCGGCCGGGGCAAUUUUUCUGCACUGAUACUUGGGGUAUCACUUCAUGUAGGCCACUCAUCUGGCACCAUCAGAAAGUAUGUAGACAUUGCUUUCCUGAAUCUUAUUUUGUAUUGCUUUGGAGAAAUCACCGUUGGGGCUGCAUUCUUCGGCCCACCUAGAAUACCUGAAGCCUUUACCCAAGUCUCGAGAUGCUUGUCCCACGUAUACUGUCUCAUGAAAUCAAUAAUACCAAGCACCAGUUCCUGCUUCUUCUCAUCCACCCCAACUAGUAAUGAGUAAUCCAUCACAUCUAUUGACGCUAGAAAUGAAGUAUCAUUCCACACAGCUCUCUGCAGCAGCCGCUUAGCUUGCGUUCCCACAAAAAUCGGAGAAGUUGGCAUUGCUUCAAUC